UAAGGAAUAUUGCUCAAUGGGAGAAAUCCUGAAGCAGCAACGCCGCGUGGAGGAUGAAGGGUCUAUGACUUGUAAACUCCUGUAAAGAAGGAAAAAAUUCCCAUUUGAUGGGAGAUGAUGGUACUUCUGGAGUAAGCCCCGGCUAACUACGUGCCAGCAGCCGCGGUAAUACGUAGGGGGCAAGCGUUGUCCGGAUUUACUGGGUUUAAAGGGUCCGUAGGCGGACUUAUAAGUCAGUGGUGAAAGCCUGUCGCUUAACGAUAGAACUGCCAUUGAUACUGUAAGUCUUGAGUAUAUUUGAGGUAGCUGGAAUAAGUAGUGUAGCGGUGAAAUGCGUAGAUAUCAGGAGGAACACCGGCGGUGUAGACGGCUUGCUAGACCAUAACUGACGCUGAGGCACGAAAGCGUGGGUAGCAAACA
This 420-nucleotide ribosomal RNA is filed under the name uncultured bacterium. RNAcentral's name for it is "bacterial SSU rRNA". It matches the Rfam family "Bacterial small subunit ribosomal RNA", at positions 355 to 774 of the family's 1533-position model. The record is from RNAcentral.